This 391-nucleotide long non-coding RNA is filed under the name Ananas comosus (pineapple). RNAcentral describes it as "long non-coding RNA (ACOM_LNC011521)". The record is from RNAcentral. Lineage: Eukaryota; Viridiplantae; Streptophyta; Magnoliopsida; Poales; Bromeliaceae.
AUCCUACCCCAGUAAAACUUGCUCGUUAAUUGACUAAAAUAAUAAUUGCAAUAAUUAUUGACUUAAAUGGGCCAGCAUCCUACCCUAUGACGGAAUGCCAUGUGGGUCAAGUUAUAUUCGAAAUUGCGUGAGACUGGAUUGGACCGAAUCAUAUUCGAAAUGACGUGAGGCUGGUUAGAUCGAAUCACAAUUGAGACCCGUGGACGCUGCAUCUGUACGCUUUAAGUGAAUUGAUUUCGUAUUUCUAACAGCUCGAGCUUUUGGGAUUAAUAGUUAUCGCCAACGAUCCGACAAUGAUAACUUGGCUUGUUAUUUAUAAGUCUUUAAAACAAAGUAUAAUCCGAAUAAAAAACCUAAUAAUAACUAAAAUCUAAUUAUAACAUACUCUUUA